RNAcentral lists this ribosomal RNA (696 nucleotides) under Faecalibacterium prausnitzii. Its description in RNAcentral is "bacterial SSU rRNA". It matches the Rfam family "Bacterial small subunit ribosomal RNA", at positions 440 to 1162 of the family's 1533-position model. The record is from RNAcentral. Lineage: Bacteria; Bacillati; Bacillota; Clostridia; Eubacteriales; Oscillospiraceae.
UGAGGAAGAUAAUGACGGUACUCAACAAGGAAGUGACGGCUAACUACGUGCCAGCAGCCGCGGUAAAACGUAGGUCACAAGCGUUGUCCGGAAUUACUGGGUGUAAAGGGAGCGCAGGCGGGAAGACAAGUUGGAAGUGAAAUCCAUGGGCUCAACCCAUGAACUGCUUUCAAAACUGUUUUUCUUGAGUAGUGCAGAGGUAGGCGGAAUUCCCGGUGUAGCGGUGGAAUGCGUAGAUAUCGGGAGGAACACCAGUGGCGAAGGCGGCCUACUGGGCACCAACUGACGCUGAGGCUCGAAAGUGUGGGUAGCAAACAGGAUUAGAUACCCUGGUAGUCCACACUGUAAACGAUGAUUACUAGGUGUUGGAGGAUUGACCCCUUCAGUGCCGCAGUUAACACAAUAAGUAAUCCACCUGGGGAGUACGACCGCAAGGUUGAAACUCAAAGGAAUUGACGGGGGCCCGCACAAGCAGUGGAGUAUGUGGUUUAAUUCGACGCAACGCGAAGAACCUUACCAAGUCUUGACAUCCUGCGACGAUGCUGGAAACAGUAUUUUYCUUCGGAACGCAGAGACAGGUGGUGCAUGGUUGUCGUCAGCUCGUGUCGUGAGAUGUUGGGUUAAGUCCCGCAACGAGCGCAACCCUUAUGGUCAGUUACUACGCAAGAGGACUCUGGCCGGACUGGGUUUGACAAA